GUCCACGCCGUAAACGAUGUCGACUAGCCGUUGGGCCCUUAUAGGGUUUAGUGGCGCAGCUAACGCAUUAAGUCGACCGCCUGGGGAGUACGGCCGCAAGGUUAAAACUCAAAUGAAUUGACGGGGGCCCGCACAAGCGGUGGAGCAUGUGGUUUAAUUCGAUGCAACGCGAAGAACCUUACCUACCCUUGACAUCCUAAGAAUCUGUUGGAGACAGCGGAGUGCCUUCGGGAGCUUAGAGACAGGUGCUGCAUGGCUGUCGU
RNAcentral lists this ribosomal RNA (263 nucleotides) under uncultured bacterium. Its description in RNAcentral is "partial 16S ribosomal RNA". It matches the Rfam family "Bacterial small subunit ribosomal RNA", at positions 793 to 1055 of the family's 1533-position model. The record is from RNAcentral.